Molecule: ribosomal RNA, 779 nt
Filed under: uncultured Campylobacterota bacterium
Lineage: Bacteria; Pseudomonadati; Campylobacterota
Description: bacterial SSU rRNA
Rfam family: Bacterial small subunit ribosomal RNA
Source: RNAcentral
GUAAAGCGCGCGCAGGCGGCCUUUUAAGUUGGAUGUGAAAGCCUAUGGCUCAACCAUAGAACUGCAUCCAAAACUAUUAGGCUAGAGUGUGGGAGAGGAAGAUGGAAUUAGUUGUGUAGGGGUAAAAUCCGUAGAGAUAACUAGGAAUACCAAAAGCGAAGGCAAUCUUCUGGAACAUUACUGACGCUGAGGCGCGAAAGCGUGGGGAGCAAACAGGAUUAGAUACCCUGGUAGUCCACGCCCUAAACGAUGAAUGUUAGUCGUCGGGUAGCUAGUCUAUUCGGUGAUGCAGCUAACGCAUUAAACAUUCCGCCUGGGGAGUACGGUCGCAAGAUUAAAACUCAAAGGAAUAGACGGGGACCCGCACAAGUGGUGGAGCAUGUGGUUUAAUUCGAAGAUACGCGAAGAACCUUACCUAGCCUUGACAUAUAUUAGAACUCAGCAGAGAUGCAGAGGUGCCUUCGGGAGCUUUUAUACAGGUGCUGCACGGCUGUCGUCAGCUCGUGUCGUGAGAUGUUGGGUUAAGUCCCGCAACGAGCGCAACCCUCGUCACUAGUUACUAACGGUUCGGCCGAGGACUCUAGUGAGACUGCCUUCGUAAGGAGGAGGAAGGUGAGGGCGACGUCAAGUCAUCAUGGCCCUUACGGCUAGGGCAACACACGUGCUACAAUGGCCAGGACAGUGAGACGCAAUACCGCGAGGUGGAGCAAAUCUAUAAACCUGGUCUCAGUUCGGAUUGUAGUCUGCAACUCGACUACAUGAAGCUGGAUCACUAGUAA